GAAUUUAGAAAUCAAGAAAAAUCUAGCCCUGUAAUUAAAAUGUGAAAACAAAAGCUAUUUGUAGAGAAAAACAUCCCAUUAAUGUGAUUUCCUAGUGACAGAUUGACAAGUUCAAAGCAGUAAUGCAUGUUGCCAUGGGCACCAGAUUCUGUUUGCUCGGCUGGCUCAUUUUACUUAGCUGCUGAAGAAGGAGAGUCGCAUUCAGCCAGGGAUCACUGAGCAUUCAAAAGUCCAUCUGAGACCUGCUUUCAUUGCACUGCCUCGUGAGGAGCUGUAGGAGAAGAUAUCAUAACUAUUCCCCACUUCUAAUUGUUAGAAGCAACAGCUGUCUAUCAAGAACAAUCUGAGGAUUGUGCACAAAUUGAUUUGGUUCUAUCAAGUGCUGGCUUUCGAUUCCAGUCUGACUUCACUACCACAGGAGCUUCUUGCUCAGGCUUCUGUUCCGGCUCCAUUCUCUCCCUGCCAUUAUAAUGCCAUCCACUGCAGCACCAUCUCUUCAAUCAGAAAACAUUCAUGAUCUCAUUCCACCUGAAGCCAGUGCCUCUGUAAUGUGUAGCAGAAUCCUAUGGAGAAGUUGUAAAAACACAAAAUGUUGGCCCCACCCCAAGAGUUUCUGAUUUUGCAGGUCUGGAGAGGGCCUGUGAUACGUACUUCUAACAAGCUCCCAGGCGAUGCUAAUGUUGCUGGUCUAGAAACACACUUUGAGAGCCACUGUUUUACAAUGUAUUCACCCAGCUUAUGCAAUCAACUACUAUCACAGCAAAGUCCAAAGAAUGCUCCUUAUUUGUUUGUUAUACUGGAGUUUGGCUUGGCUAAAUAUUAUUUGAAACUGAAUGGCUGUUGAUUGUGGCUCAGAAACUGUUUUCUUCAUAGCGCUGCAAUUGGAUUUAUUUAUUAGAAUUUGAGCUGAAUGUUGUCGUACAUUUUGGUUACAUUGGUUUCUCAGGAUAUUUUAUAGGUACAUGUUGUCUCUUUCUAAGUGCACUGUCACUUGAGGUGGGCCUGGGCCUUUUGUUCCUGUUUGUCCUUACUCUUCCACGGAGCUAGCAGUCUCCAGCACAGGGGUGAUCAGUUCUUAAUCACUGAAGACUAAUUAAUCUUUCAGUAUACAUGCUAUUUUAGUGAGUAAUUUUUGCCAGAAAUACUAGUGCUGAUGUAAAAUAAGGGUUAGGAUUAGGGAAGGAUUUGGCCUGAAUAAUUCAAUUUAUAUGUAUAAGUCA
This 1220-nucleotide long non-coding RNA is filed under the name Homo sapiens (human). RNAcentral's name for it is "HSALNT0342609". Lineage: Eukaryota; Metazoa; Chordata; Mammalia; Primates; Hominidae. The record is from RNAcentral.